Molecule: long non-coding RNA, 21703 nt
Filed under: Gossypium barbadense (sea-island cotton)
Lineage: Eukaryota; Viridiplantae; Streptophyta; Magnoliopsida; Malvales; Malvaceae
Description: long non-coding RNA (GBAR_LNC018981)
Source: RNAcentral
UAACCGGAUUGUUGAUGAGAAUGGCGUUUGAAUAUAAGGCUUUUCCAAGUACCUCCAGAUCGAUGCCAUUUACGUUUAUGAAUGGCUUUACCCCAUUGAGGGUUGGGUUGCAAGUCACUCUAAACCAAGGUUCCGUAUAGCAGGUGCUAUGGAUUCCAAAAGGGGAUGGAAUUGUAAUAUUUCCACAUGCUUCUUUACCACAGGCAGGUUCUUGAGAUUCUGCUGCUUGUAAUAUUGGGCACAACAUGAAGAGGAGUAGGAGGAUGAGGUAAAGCGGUAAGUGAAAACCCAUUUGCGUUGUUAUUUUGUUUGAGGGAAAUGAAUGAAGAUUUAGAUAGGGUUACUGUAGAAGUCGGGUUUUAAAGAAACAAAAGCAGGGUUAAGUAGCACCACGAGAUUGUAAAUUAUAUUUGUUAAAGUAGCACCACUACUCUUUUUCUUUUUAAAAUUACCAUCACUACUACAUGUCAAAAUAAAUUAUAAUUUUUUACAUCUAAAUUUAGUAAUAUGAUAAAAAAAUAUCUUUAUUUAUUUAAAAAAAAUUUAAAUUCGUGCUUUUAUAUAUACUACUUGUUUCAAAUUUAUAUAGGGUUCACUUCUAUAAAUAUAUUCAUUUCUACCCCACCACGUCAAUCCAACGAGCCUCUUAUCCAUUCUUAUUCGAUCAUGAAAGAGGUAAGACAAAAUAAAAAUACUCACAUUAAAUUUAGAGAAAAUCAAAUUCGAUUUAAUAACUUCCAUAUCUAAUAUUUUACGGCUAAAUUAUAUUCCUUUCCUGCCCCAAUCAAGAAAUAGGACCAACUAUUGGACAAAUGUGUUACGAAGCAAAAUUUUCUUCCGUCAAUGUGCUGUCUCAUUUUGUAUCCCUACAAUCAUUUCUUGGCAAGUGUAUUAAAAUUACUUUUAAAAUAAAAUUUGAAAGUAAAGGUUCAAAAAAUAUAUAAAAUUUAAUAAUUUCCAACACUUGUAUCAAAUUGUAGAUAUAUUAUAUAAAUUACACUUUAUAAAUGAAUAAACAAAUAAAACUCCGAACAUCACAGAUUUAAUAAUAUACUGCACAUUUCCUAAAAAAAUAAUGUACUCCACAUGUUACAAUGCAUUUAAAUGUGAUAUUUCAAAAUCUGAUACUUCUUUACCACAGGUAGGUUCUUGAGAUUCUGCUGCUUGUAAUAUUGGGCACAAGAGGAAGAGGAGUAGGAGGAUGAAGUAAAGAAAACCCAUUUGCGUUGUUAUUUGGUUUGAGGGAAAUGAAUGAAGAUUUAAAGAAAGAAAGGAUGUUUGAGUGAGAAGCAAAUGAAAAGUAUUUGGUCACACUUUCCUUGAAGUUCCAGUAUAUGUGCAUUUGAUUUGAGAAUAAUUCAUUAAUUUGUAAAGAUUGUUGGAUACAAUUUUCCAGCUGCACGUAAGAGGUCUCCAGUGAAAGAGUAGGUUACGUAUAAAGAGUUAAGAGACAAAUAAAAGGGAGAGUCGAGCCUUAUAUUCCUUCAAAUAUUUUUACAAUAGCAUUAAGAAAUAAGGAUAAUUUAUGUUCCUCCCUCCAAAACUUUUAAAUAUUUCAAAUCAUAUUGUAAAAUAGAAAGCUUGAUAUUAUAGAUUAAAUAAAAUUAUUUUUAAAAUUUUAUUAGUUAAUAUUAAUUUAAUUAUAUUAACAAGUGGAUGAAAGAAGUGAUUAAAAAAAAACUUAAUUUAAAAUGAAUAAUCAAUUUCAAUUAAGUUUAUACAAUCCUAGUUGUCUAUAAAGCUAGAUAACAAAGAGUGAGCAUUAUCCUUAAUGAGUGAUAGCAAAGGUGAUUGUUCUUUACAACAACUUGAAAAAAAAUUCCGAGGAAUGUCACUUUUGACGCUGUUCCUAUGAUUAGAGGUUUCGCAUUUUUAUUUAUAGCCAUUCAACAUAGUUAGUAUCAUAAGUCUAAGAAUUAUUUAUGUUACCGAUAUAUGUGGGUAUUUUUGACAUUUAAGUGAAAAUCUCAAUAAACUCUCAAGUGAAGUUAUAUUUUAUAAUUUUUUCUAUUUUUUAAUAAUCAUUAGUAUUUUAUUUUUUUAUAUUUUUUUUAUAAAUUUAGGUAACUUUUACAUUUUUAAAAAAUAUUUUUAAUAAUUUGACAUGUCACACCAACAUGUUUUCACAUGGUAUUUCAUAUGCCAACUUCUCAUGACUUCGGUAAAUCAUGUAAACAACAUAUAAUAUUCAAAUUAAUCAAGAAUUUUUAUUUUUUACUGAGUUCUUUUUACCAUUUAAUUGUAUAUUAAUAUUUAUUACAUUAUUAAGAAUUGGUUUUUAUGUAAUUUUUCUGACAAAAUUCAAUAAUACAUUAUAUAAGCAUAGAUAUAACUUCAUUAAAAUCUGCGAAGAGUGAAAACGUUAUUAAUUUGUCUUGUAGCGACCUAAAAAUUUUUGGCGUUGGGCGCUAGUCGAAGUAGUUAUUGAAAACUUGAAAACCGAAUCUCGAUUUUAUUUGAAAAAGGGGAGUCGCCACCGAUCUUUUUUCUAGGUGUGAUCGGACACCUAAUAAAUUCUCUUUUUUUUUAAGAAAAAUUUAUUUUUUAAAUUUUUCUUAAAAAGAGGUAAUUUUUUGUCUACGUGAAAAUCCAGAGAAAAUUAGAGUUCGGGAGUCGGUUACGUGCGAGGAAGGUAUUAGCACCCUCGCGACGCCCAAAAUUGGUAUCUCGUUAAAUGCACGUUGUCUUCACUUUCAAAAAUGCGAGUUCAAUUUAAUAUUUAAUCGUGAUCCGAUUAAAACACGAGAAAUUUUUUUUUAAAACACGAGAAUUUUGGAAACACAAAUUUUUAAAAAAACGAAAAUUUAUGAAACACGAGAUUUUUUUUUUGAAAAAACGAAAAUUUUCAAAACACCAAAAUUUUUGAAAACACAAGGAUUUUUGAAAUACGAAAAAUUUGAAAACAAGAAAAUUUUUGAAAUACGAAAAUUUUAGAAACACGAAAAUUUAUAAAAUACGAAAAUUUUUGAAACACAGAAGUUUUUAGAAAACACGAAAAAUUUUUGGGGGGGACCGAAAUUAAAUUGUAAUUUUUACAAUAGUAAAAAUAUAAUUUUUAAAAAAUUAAAUCAAAAUUUUAUCAAUUUUAGGGGGACAAAGUGUAAUUUUACCUUUACUAAUUUAAAAUAUUAAAGGGCCAAAAUGAAAAAUUUUCUAUUUUAAGAGGGCCCGGGGUCCCUAGUAGCUCCCUAGAUUCACCCCUGAAAGAAUUUUACUCAAAUAUUACUUUUAGCUCAAACAAAAUUUAACUCAAACUAUACAAUAGAUGAAAAUAUUUGUGAUUAAAGUCAACUUUUAUUAAUUUUGUACUUUGUGUUAUAAUCAAUCAAGAGGUAUAUAGGUAGAUUUAUUUAGUUCUUAAGUUGUCGAUAAAGCUAGAAGGGAGGAAUUAGCAAAAGAGUGUUAGCCCCUUGCGCAAAAUAAUGGGCAUUAUCCUUAGCGAGUGAUAGCAAAGGUGAUUGUUCUUUACAACUUGAGAAGAAAUUUCCAAGAAUGUCACUCUUGACCCUUUCUGAUGAAAGGGUUAUAAUCGUAUUAUUCGGUUGUUAAAGUAUUUGAGAGGUCUUUAUGCUAUAUAGAUCGGAUCAAAUUAGACAUUCUAUUAUUAAAUGGAUCAAUUUAGUACUUAUAUUAUUAAAAAUAAUCAAAUAAGUUUAAAUUAUAAAAGAGUUAACUUUUACUGUAUAAAAAAUGUCUUGAAUUUUUAUUCAAAAUCUAUUCUAUUUUAAACAAAAUAUUUCAUUUACAAAACCAUAAAAACUUCAAAAAUAAUUAACUCUAUUAAAAAAUAUAUGUUAAUUAUAUUUUAAUUUAGUCUUCUUUAAUUCUUUUUAAUAGUAUAAGGAUUAGAUUAAUUCAUUUAAUAGUAGAGGGACUAAUUUGGUCAAAUUCCUAUAAUAGAGAGACUCUUAGAUGCUUCAUCCAUAUAAUGCAAUAGAUAUUAAGUAAUCAAUGCAGUGUAUACAUUUCUGGCACUAUAUAUGUUUAAGAAUUUUUUACCAAUAAAAAUAUGCAUAAUUAUAUGCAAAUGUACAUAUUUUUUUAGAGAUUCACUUUAAUUGGUGUAAAAUUAAAUACAUCAGUAUAAAAUUAAAGUUGUUUUACUCCCUUUCAUAUCUCUUUGUACAGUUAAUAUUUUGACAAUCCAACCGUUUGAAUUUAAUAUUUUAUUCAUAUAAAUCAUUCAUGUCAAAUUUGAUAUAAAUUAAAAUUUUCUAACUUUUUGUUUAAUGUAAAAAAUAUUCAACCGUUGAAUAUAUAUUAAUAUAUUGAGUAUUGUAGAUCAAUAUGAUAGAAAUAUCAAAUUGGUUUAAAAAUUUACAUGCAUGACAAGUACAAAUAUAACCAUCACUACACCAAAACAGGCUUUUAGUGGCAUCUUUUGUGGCGUUUGGACGACAAACGCCGCUAAAGAUCUAGCAUUAGCGGCGCUCAGAAUAAAAUGCCGCUAAAGAUCUAGCAUUAGCGGCGCAUUAUAUAAAGCGCCACAAAAUAUCUUACCAAAACGCAGCGUACGAUCUUAAGGUAUAUUAGAAUUAGUGGCGCUUACGCAAAAACGCCGCUAAAGCUUAGUAUUAGCAGCGCAUCGUCAAAGUGUUGGAUCGUCGGCACCUCUAUGGCGCAGCGAAAAAUAAUGAUCCGGCGAUCCUAACCAGGGAUCCAUGUGUGAGGAACGAAUCGGAGUGAAAGAGGUUGCGAAAUUACCUAAUGUUUAUUCAGAGUAGACAGCAACACCUAACAACGAGUAGUCUGAUCUGCUGUCGAACCAAACCGCAAUCUAUCGUGAUCCCGGCCUCUACGUAAUCCACCUAGUUGACUACGAAUGGAAGGAAUCCCCAAAACAAUUUUGAGAGUUAUUUUUCUUUGACGGCUGCUAGACUCAAACAAAGAAAAACGGGAUUAUAUAUAUAUCCUUUUGUUUUAGGGUUUUUAAGAAUUAAAUAAAUAUAAUAAUAUUUUAAACCGAAAAUCAUAAUUACAUUAAUUAUAAUAUAAGUUCGGUAAACCAUAUAUUUAUUUGAAUUCUUAUGCUAACCAAAUUCAUGUCCUCACUAUACGUACAACAACCUUGUACAUAAUGUGCUGGAAAUUUGAUUACCGAAUUAAAUUAAUUCUAUAAUUAAUUUAAUUCAAGUGACCCCAAAAACAAUACCAACUAUGGUUUAUUCCGUUCAUUUCAACUAUAGGGUGUGACCCUGUAGGUUCUUGUAACGUUAGCAGUAACACUAGAACGAUUCUAAUGCGACGAACAAUGAGUGGCAUCUAGCAAUGCAUCAUUGCUACCUAAGUCACAAGAGAUCAUGAUUCGACAUAACCUUUUUAUGAUUAACCUUUUAUGCAAUAAUCCUUAAGUCCUUUAUCUCUGGAUUGGACACAAGUCAUGGAAUAGUCACCCUUGCAUUGUCCAUUCCAUGUUCCUUGAUAUCUUAAGCAGACUACGAUAUACAAAUAAGUAUGACAUCUAAUAUCAACUUAUUUGAGCACGGCCAUGCAUUUCUAGUCUCACUUAAUCAAGUGGCCUAAGAUAUUACUCCCAUUAUGUAGGAGGGACUUAUCCUAUAUCGACCAACCAUAUCCCUCUACAUAGAUUGUGGUAUAUCCAACAUCAGUCUUUAUAGAACAACCAGUUACGGUGCACGUUUGACUGUAUCAAAAUAUACAACUUACGAUGUUGGGAUUAUGAUGAUCUCAAGUCUGAGGAUCAUAUAAAUAUUAAUCAUUAUGAGUAAUGUCGUGACAAUUACAUAAUAAUCCAAGAAACAUACUCAUAACGGGUCAGUCCAAUAUGUUGUUCUCUAACACACAUAUUCAUGUAAUGAUUCUAACAUUCCGUAUCAAUGACAACUCUUUAUCAUCAAUCAACUACACGUUAGUCUUAAUGCAUUAUCGUUGUCCUAUCCAACAAUAAUACUUGACUAAGGAACUUUUAAGAAUAAUCAUACUAUUCUCAGGACAUUAUUAUAAAACAGUUUAUUUAUAUACACAGAAAAGAAACUGAAAUAAUAAUGGUAACACCUUAUAUUAAUAAACAUGAUAAAUCAAGUAUGUUAUUACAACCAUCUCAUGAUUGAUCUUUGGGCAUACUCUAACAAAAAGCACCGCAAAAAAGAUGAAGCCAACGACGCCGUUUUCUGAGUUUCUGGGAGUGUAGCGGCGUUUUCUGAAAAUCGUUGCUAAUGCUCUUGACUUUAGCAGCAUUUUUUGAAAAGCGUCGCAAAAAAGCUAAGGCCAACGACGCCGUUUUCUGAGUUUCUGCGCGUGUAGCGGCAUUUUUUGAAAAUCGUCGCUAAUGCUCUUUGCCUUUAGCUACGUUUUCUGAAAAGCGCCGCAAAAAACCUAAAGCCAACGACGCCGUUUUCUUUGUUUUUGGGCCUUUAGCAGCGUUUUUAUAAAAGCGCCGCUAAUGCUCCGGCCUUUAGCGGCGUUUUUGAGGAAGUGCCGCUAAUUGUAAUAAAAAACCAUUCCAAUUAUCUCUUUCUUUGAUAUAUUUUUUUGUUAUAAGAUAUAGAAUAUUUCGUUGUAUUUAUUAUAUAUUGGUCAAAUUUACAUUUAAAUGAAAACAAAUAAUAUUAAUAUGAUAAUAUGCAUGGGACAUGGCUAUAUAUAUAGCUUCCUAAAAUGAUGUGGAGGGGGCACCAAACUCUAAUAAAUUUGUAGUCCAUGCCCCAGUAGAAUAGGUUGAAACAUCUUUUUCUCUGGAUAGUGAUAUGCAAGUGAGAUGCUUAGGGGUUAGGGGUUUAGGGGUUAGACGUUAGGGUUUAAGACUUAAGGUUUAAGGGUUUAGGGGUCGGGUUAGGGUUUAGGGUCUAGAUUAAUUUUUUUAAUUUAUAUUUUAAAUAUAUUCUUAUGUAAUUGUAAAAGAGAUAAUAAUAAAUUUAAUAAACUGAAAUUAUGAGUAUAGUUGAAAUUAUGGCUUAAGAGAUAUAUAAUAUAUGUUAUAUUUAAUUAUUGACAUUCAUACCAUUUGAUAUUAUAAGAAUCUAAAAUAUUUGUUUUGUACUACAGUAAUAUUACGAUUUGGGAUUUUUGGUUUUUGAAUUUGGGGUUUAGUUUUUAAACUUAAGGGUUUGGGGUUUGGGAUUAGGGAUUAGGGUUUUGAGUUUGGGGUUUAGUGUUCGGGGUUAGGGGUUUAGGGGUUUGGGGUUUAAGGAUAAUUUAUGGUAUAAUAUUUGAUAUUGGGGUUUGGUUUAUGGUUGUUUGUAGUUUCUGGGUUACGGGUACAGUGUUACGGCUAACGGGUAACGGGUUAUGAGUUUUAGGGUUUAAAUGUGGAUAUUUUAUAAUAUAAUUCGAAUUAAAUUAAAUUUAAAUUAUCAAUUUAAUAAAUAUAUAUAUAUGAAAAAGGAUUAAAUCCGAGAAGCGUACAUUAAGGAUGGUUUCAUGUUAAAUUGAAUUCAUGAACUUUAAUGUUAAAUUGUAUUCAUGAAAACGACGUUGUUUCUAGUGGAUUUGCAUUAGAAUUAGCGGCGCUAAACAGAAAACGCAGCAAUAGAUGAAAUAAUACCGGCGUUUUUAUGAAAACGCCACAAAAUACUGAAGGAAACGGUGCCGUUUGCUUAUUACAUUUAGUGGCGUUUUACAUAAAAUGCCGCAAGUAUGUUUUCUUUGUUAAGGAAACUGCAUCGUUUUCCAUUGUUAUUAGUGGCGCUACACCCAAGACGCCGCGAAUAUAUUUUAAAAUUUACAGGAGUUUGAGUUAAACGACUGCGUUUGACCUUAUAUUUAGUGGCGCUUGAGUAUAAACGCCGCAAAAAUCCAAAUGGUGUUACGAGAAACGGCGCCGUUUACAUAGUUGCUUUUAGUGGCGCUUCUAAUAAACGCUGCAAAUAUGCAUUAUAACUUAAGGAAACUUCGUCAUUUUCCAUUGUUAUUAGUGGUGCUACACCCAAGAUGCCACAAAUAUAUUUUAAAAUUUACAGGAGUUUGAGUUAAACGACUGCUUUUGACCUUAUAUUUAGUGGCACUUGUGUAUAAACGCCGCAAAUAUCCAAAUGGUAUUACAAGAAACGGCGCCGUUUACAUAGUUGCUUUUAGUGGCGCUUCUCAUAAACGCCGCAAAGAUGCAUUAUAACUUAAGGAAACUGCGUAGUUUUCCAUUGUUAUUAGUGGCGCUUGCUUAAAAUGCCGCAACUUGGUUUUAAUUUUAGUACAAACGAUGUCGUUUUGUAUAUAUUAUUCGUGGCGUUUUUUCUAAAACGCCAAGAGGUUUUGGUUACUUGAUGGGGAAACGACUGCGUUUGGCGAUAUGUUAGUGGCGUUUUUAUAUAAACGCCGCAAAUGGGUUAAAUAUUUUGACGAAAACGGCGUCGUUUUUUUUCCAUCCUUUUGACCGAAACAAAACCAAACCCCGAUUCCCCCCCCCAAACUCUCAUCUCCCCCAAAUCACUAAAAUUUCCCCUAAUCCCUAACAGUUCCCCAAACCCAACGUAGUCCUGUACGGCGCCAUUUGCUUUACUGCAUCACAGCCUCCGUGCGUCUCCGGUACCGCAACCAUCGGUAAGUUCGGCAACUUCCUUUUUCUUCUUCAUGCGUGAAUGUUAUCUGGAAUACCGAUUUUGAACAAAAAAAUCCAUUUCGGUUGUUUCGAUAAUGUCGUGAAUUUGGGGCUUCCGAACAUUUGGUUUUUUUUUUUCAUUUUCAGAAAACGUUAUAGGUUGAGAACUUUAAAUAAAAAAUCAGUUUUAUAUAUCGACAUUUAACCAAAAAAAAAACAAUUCAAGUUACAUUUUAAUCAAAAUUAGAAAUUUCGAAAUCUUUAAAAUAAUGAACCUGAACCACAACACUGUUUUAAAUUGAUAAAUAUUUUGAGAUACCCAAAUGUUUUUGAGACUUUAAUCGAAAAGGUAAAAAAGCAAUGAUGAGUUUGAUAUGAAUUAAAGAAAAAGCAUAUAAUAUAUUUGAAGUCAAAGUUUUCAAUUCCCUGUUCAAACUUAUAAUGUUUGAUUAAUGUAGAAGACAUUAUUAUAAGUCAUGCUUGACUCAUGUAUUUCUUUGUAAUUUUAUUUAUUUAUUAUUUGACAGGGUGAACCACACCUCAUGUUCAUCUUGUUUUCCUUUGUUCAUUUUCAUUUUUAAAAAUCUUCAAAAUGGAAUUAAACCCAAAAGCUGGGGCAUGAUCUGUAAAUGUAUUAGAUAUUCAGAAUCUGAAAAUCAUUUUUAAUUUCAACCAGAAUAUUGUACACAAAAUACAUGCAGAACAUUGGCACAUGUUAUCUGCAUAUGUUACCUUAUUUGAAGGAAUAAACUAAACCCAAUUUGCAAUUCAAGAGGCCAAAAAGCUAAUCUCUAACGUGAAUUCAAUCUCUAAUUAAUUUCUCAAAAUCUGCUUUAUUUAUCUGUCGUCUGCAGUUAAUCUAAUUUAACAUUCUUAUAUGUCGAUGUGGUAUAUAUCUAGAAUAGUCAACAUUGGUUAGCAUUCAGCAAAAGGAUGCCCCGAGGGACUUGACGAAGGGAAUUUUAACUUUGAAUGUGAAUUAGUCAACCAUAUAAAAUAUAUUUUGUUUUCCUAUCGGUCAGGCUCUUGAGUUUUUUCAGUCAUCUUUAGCUAAGAUAUUGUGGAAAACAAGGGAAAUUAAAUAACUUUUAAGUAUGCAGGAAAAGUUUACCACAAUCCUCCUAUUUGUGACCGUCACUACUCACUACAUGAGUUUUAAAAUAACAUUAAUUCCAUGAUUUCUUUGACCAUUUUACCAUAUAUUUUCCGCUACCUCUAUUUCCUUUGUCCUACCGUUCAACAUGUUCUGUUUCUACUCCUUAACAAUGAGUCUCUUUCUCUUUACUCAUCCUCUUCUUUUGGUGCUUCAACUAUUCCUCCCUAUCUUCAUCUUAGGACUCUUUGCCCUUAUUGGAUGAACAUUUGCUGCCUGUGUUUUGGCCGAACAAUUGUUUGGGCAGGUACAUGUUAAAAUUUGACAGUUUUUCCCUUAUUUAUAUGCAUUUUCCCAAAUUACUUAACAAAAUAAAUGUUUCUGACUGCAGUCUCUCUUUGCUGGUGAGAGUGAAGUAGACAAAGUUGAGUGAAAUAUUAAGGUAUGUUUUAGUUCAUAACUUAAAUCAAUAAUAGUUUUAUCAUGAUGAUUUUUGAAAAAUGUUUCUUUUGGGGCUCUGGUUUUGUAUAUAUGUAAUUGGUUUUGGUUGUUUUCCUUUAGCUUAUGUUUCAUUUUACUUAUUUUACAAUUGCCAUGUACUUUUCUGACUUAUGUUUUCUGUUAUCAUCCAUCAACGAUUGCUAUAUAUGUUGAGCAAAAUAGAAGCAAUUUAAUAAAUUGUACUGGGAAUUGGAUUAAAUUUUUUUAUUUUAAAAUUAUUCGAAAUUUCUUAACUAUAUGUUACAUUAAAUAACAAAUUAAUCCACUUUCUUUUCACAUUUAAGUUUCAUUGAUAUCAAAUAUGCUUAAUUGUUGUAUACAUAUUAUUCCAUAUCGCAAGUAAAUUAUUUUGAAAAUAAAGGUUAUUUAUGUCUAAAUAAUAUAAACAUUUGGUUAAAAGCCUGUAUAGUUUGCAAAUAUUUAUAUGUUUUCCUCCAAAAUUUUUUUUCCUUUAGUUGCUAUUUUAAUCACGGAAAUUUAGUUUGUUUUGUUUUCUUUUAUUUAAUUUGAAUCAUGGAAAAAAAUUUCAAACUUUUAAUUUAUUUUUAGGUUUAAUUUUAGAUGACUUACAGAAAUUUAGUUAAAACUUACAUAACAUACAUAAUUUAAUUCAAAGUUAUUUUUUAUUUGUUUUAAAGUUAAAAUUCACAUAACAUACAUAAAUUAAAGUUAAAAUUUCUAAACUUUUGUAAAUGGUAUAACUUACUUAAUACAAAACUUAUAUAAUAUUAAGAUCAAAUUUCAAAACUUGCAAAAUCUUACGAUCAGAUUUCAUAAUUUAUGUAUUUUAUGUAACUUACAUAAUAUAUAACUUACAUAGCUUAAGUAACAGUAAUUUCAGAUCUACUUUCACAACUUACAUAGAUUUUAGCAGGACACUUCAUAACUUAUAUAAUAUUAAGAUAAAAUUUCUAAUUACAUAACUUAUAUAAUAUUACAUAACUUAUAUAAUAUUAAGAUAAAAUUUCGAAUUACAUAAUUUAUAUAAUAUUAAGAUUACUUAUAUAAUAUUAAGAUAAAAUUGAUAAUUACAUAACUCGUUUAAUAUUAAGAUAACUUAUAUAAUAUUAAGAUAAAAUUUCUAAUUACAUAACUCGUUUAAUAUUAAUUUCUAAUUUGUAAGUACACAUCAAUUUCUCAUUUGAUAACUUAUACAAUAUUAAGAUAAAAUUUCGAAUUACAUAACUUAUAUAAUAUUAAGAUUAAUUAUAUAAUAUUAAGAUCAAAUUUCUAAUUACAUAACUCGUUUAAUAUUAAGAUAACUUAUAUAAUAUUAAGAUAAAAUUUCUAAUUACAUAACUCGUUUAAUAUUAAUUUCUAAUUUGUAAGUACACAUCAAUUUCUCAUUUUAGGUAACUUAUACAAUAUUAAGAUAAAAUUUCGAAUUACAUAACUUAUAUAAUAUUAAGAUUACUUAUAUAAUAUUAAGAUCAAAUUUCUAAUUACAUAACUUAUAUAAUAUUAAGAUUACUUAUAUAAUAUUAAGAUAAAAUUUCUAAUUACAUAACUCGAUUAAUAUUAAGAUAACUUAUAUAAUAUUAAGAUAAAAUUUCUAAUUCCGUAACCUAAUAUAUAAAUUACAUAACUUACAUAACUUACAUAAAUUAAAUAACUUACAUAACUUAAAUAACUUACAUAAUACGUAACCUUCCUAACUUACAUUAUUUAGAUAAUACAUAGCCUACAUAACUUACAAAACUUACAUAAAUUAAAUAACUUCCAUAACUUACAUAACUCACAUAAUACACAACUUACAUAACUUACAUAAAACAUAACUUAUUACAUAACUUACAUAAUACAUAAAAAUAUAUCAUAUCAUAAGUUACAUAACUCAUUUAUAGUUAUAUCUGGCAUUUUAACUUACCCGUGCAAAUUAUUGUCAACGUGACUUCAAUAAUUUAGAAAUGGACCGGUCUUGGAUGAAUUUGUCAAGGGUAAGCAACGGCUAUCGAAAUGGAGUACAGACGUUUCUAAAUUUUGCAUUUCAAUACGCAAGCCAAGAGAACAUGAUUCUUUGCCCCUGUAAGAAUUGUGUCAACAUAAACUGGCAUUAUCGUGAGGUUGUAUAUGAGUAUCUAAUUGUUGAUGGGUUUGUUCGGGGUUAUAAACAAUGGUUAUUUCAUGGAGAAUGCCCGCAUAGUACUUCCUCUUCAAUGAUGGAUGUAACUUAUCCUGAUACUGCUUACCAUCAGUCUGAUAGAGGGGAUGACAUGGAAGGGAUGUUGCGGGAUGCAUUUAAUAUGCACAAUCAUGGUGUCCAGUUUUCCUAGCUGACUUGUGGCAUCUGAUGAUUGUAAUCUCGGUGGAAAUGCUUUUACCGAACCGGGAAGAAGUGUUCCUCAUGAAGAGCCGAAUGGAGAAGCGAAAAAGUUCUACGCGCUACUUAAUGACAUGAAUGAAGAACUGUAUGAGGGAUCAAAAUCCUCAAAAAUGUCUUUUUGUAUUCAUCUUUUUCAGUUAAAAUGUUUGGGAGGGUGGACCGGGAACUCUUUGACAAUGCUGUUAGAGUUUUUGAGAGAAAUGUUUCCGUUUGCAAAAAUCCCUCAGUCGUGCAAAGAUAUGAAGAAAAUGAUUAAAGAUUUAGGCCUUGGGUAUAACAAAAUCCAUAGUUGCCCAAAUGACUGCAUGUUGUAUUGGGGCGAUCGGAGAAACCAACAGUGCUGUCAUGUAUACGGCCACUCCCAUUGGAUAAGUAGAAACACAGAAGAUGGGAACGGCGAUGAAAAUGAUGCACAAUCAAGGAAGAAGCCAGUCAAGAUUUUGCGGUAUUUUUCGUUGAUACUAAGGCUUCAAAGGCUUUUCAUGUCGUCAAAGACAGCAGAGUCAAAGACGUGGCACCAUGAUGGACGAACCGAUGAUGGAUUACUAAAGCAUCCGGCAGAUUCUUUAGCUUGGAAAUCAUUUGACAAUAAAUUUCCAAGCUUUGCAAGCGAUCCUAGGGGUGUGAGGCUUGGGCUAGCAUCUGAUGGAUUUAAUCCUUUCAAGAUCAUGAGCACUGCCUACAGUACUUGGCCAGUAGUGCUUGUUCCUUACAAUCUGCCUCCGCGGAUUUGCAUGAAGCAAUCUUCCCUUAUCUUAUCUAUGAUUAUCCCUAGAGAGAAAGGGCCCGGGAAUGAUAUCGACAUUUAUUUACAGCCACUUAUUGAAGAGUUAAAACAAUUAUGGGCAGGUGUCGAGACAUACGAUGUGCUGAGAAAGGAGAACUUUAAUUUACGUACAGCUUUGAUGUGGACCAUUAAUGACUUUCCCGCUUAUGCCAAUUUAUCCGGUUGGAGUACCAAGGGUCGUUAUGCAUGUCCUUGUUGUGCUACACAAACAUGUUCGCAAUGGUUGUACAAUGGGAAGAAGUUCUCUUACAUGGGGCAUCGUCAGUGGUUACCGAAAAAUCAUAGAUUUAGAUUUCAGAGUUCUGUAUUUGACGGUACUGAAGAGUUCGGAGAAGCUCAUUCGCAGACCAGUGGCUCUGACAUCUUGUUCAUGUUGGAAGAUAUGAAUUUCAUUUAUGGGAAGAUGAACUAACCGCCAAACACAGAAAGAAAUAGAAGAUCAAAUGAUGAAGCUGAGGAUGACUCUAAUGAAGAGGACAAUCCUAAUGAAGGGGACUUGUGGAAAAAAAGAAGUAUUUUUUUGAGUUGCCUUAUUGGGAGCAUCACCUUUUACGACACAAUCUUGAUGUUAUGCACAUUGAGAAAAAUGUCUGCGAGAACAUUGUGGGUAUAAUUUUGAAUGUCGACGGAAAAUCAAAAGACAAUCUUCAGAGUCAACUUGAUUUAGUCCAAAUGGGAAUCCGACCUGAUCUUCAUCCCAAUCCACUUCCGAAUGGGAAAUAUCGCUUGCCGCCUUCUAUUUUGUCAAUGUCGAAGACGAAAAAAGAAGUGUUCUUCACGGUGUUGAAGGAUAUAAAGGUUCCAGAUGCGUAUGCAUCAAAUAUAUCUCGAUGUGUUACUGUUAAAGAUCGAAGAUUAUAUUCGCUAAAAUCACAUGACUAUCACAUCUUGAUGCAAGAUUUACUGCCAGUUGUUCUACGAUGUUGUAUGUCCAAGAAGGUGACAUCUUGUAUAAUUGAACUAUCCAAUAUAAUGAAAGCCAUUUGUGGCAAAGUUUUGGAUGUUCAAGAACUUCAGAAGGUACAGGAUCAAGCCGCUUUAACUUUAUGCAACAUGGAAAAAUUCUUCCCACCUUCCUUCUUCACCAUUAUGGUUCACUUGAUAAUCCAUCUCCCGUAUGAAGCAAUUCUUGGCGGACCCGUUUUCUAUCGAUGGAUGUAUCCCAUAGAAAGGUGUUAAUUAAAAUUUUUAAAAUUUUCCUUCAUUCACCUCUAUGCCUUUAGUUACAACUUUUGAUAAUAUUGUAUAUUGUGUUUAGGUUCCUAUCCAAAUUAAAGUCUUACUGCCAAAACAAGCGAUAUCCAGAAGGAUCGAUUACUGAAGGCUACUUGGCAGAGGAAUGUAUGACCUUCUGCUCAAGAUAUUUGGAAGAUGUUGAAACAAGGUUGAAUAGACCAAAUAGGAAUGCUAGACUCACGGACCAUAACUUCGUCGAUACUUAUAUGUUCCAAAGUUUUGGAGAACCAAUGGGCAAAGUUGAAAUUACAGAAUUAGAUCAUUUAUCGUGGGUACAAACACAUCGAUAUGUUCUGUUUCACCACGAAUGAAUGGAACCUUUAUGGAAGUAAGUUCUACUAAUUUGAUAAAUAUUUAUCAAACUAAAAAUUGUUUAUCUUCUAACAAAGUGAACAUUUUUUUAACAUAGUUAGUACAAAAAAAUAUUGAGAUCUCGUUCUCGCUCCCGAAGAACACAACAUCGAGAUAUCAAUAAGUUGUUUAUAGAAUAUUUUCAUGAAUGGUUAAGCCAAACGGUAUGCAGUUGGAGCUUCCGCUUACAAAUAAUAAUGUUUUCUCAUAACAUUUUUAAUUACUCAGUUUACUUUCCAUUCAACAGGUUUGGAGUGGGAAGAACGUAAACGACGAAGUUAAAUGGCUCUCCCAAGGUCCAAAUCGAGUGGUUAAAAGAUAUAGUGUGUUCCUCAUCAACGGAUUCAGAUUUCAUACAAAAUAUCGCGAAAGGUUAAGGAGAACGCAAAAUUGUGGAAUAGUUGUUAAUUCCUCAAUUACAAGUUAUGCUAUUGCUAGGGACAAUAAUCUUGUCGAGGGAAAUGUGGAAUAUUUCAGACUUCUUACUGACAUAAUUGAGUUGGAUUACUAUGGCAAAUGGAAAGUUGUCUUAUUUCGAGGUGAUUGGGCCGAUGUUAAUACUGCUCGUGGAAUUAAGCAAGAUCAAUUUGGUUUUACAAUGGUGAACUUCGCCCGAUUGAUUCAUACAGGACAACAACUGAUAGAUGAGUCGUAUGUAUUCUUAUCUCAAGUAAAACAAGUUUUUUACUCAAAAGAUCCAACUGAUGAGGGUUGGUACGUUGUACUCCGUAACAUCCCUAGAGACUUGUUUGAUAUGGGUUGUGGAAGUAGAGAUAACAUCGACGACAGAUCAGAAACUUUACCCUUUCCAGAACAAAACUUAAACGAUAAUAUCCCUAGUACUAGUGCACAAUUUCAAUGGGUUCGUCAGGAUACGGAUGAAGAUAUUUACGAAUAAUGAUGUAGUAAGAUUUUUCGAUUAUUUAAUUAUAUGUAAUAUCAUAAUUUAAUUCUUGGUCUUAUUAUAUAUUUCAACUAUUUUAUAUGUGCUGUUAUUGUUGUAAUUAGUUAUUAAGUUUUCUACUAUUUUAUGUGUAUUGCAGAUAAAAUUCCUAGAAGAAAAAUUCUAAGGGGAAGCAUUGUUCAAAAUGAUCCAAACUCGACAGAAACAAAUAAUACUGAACAACAGACAGUAAUUGGAUCAUCGAAUGUUCCGAUUACAGCUGAGGAUCCUAUAGAAGUUCAAAGUAAUUUUACAUUUAAUUUACAUGCGUGUUGACUUAUAAUUGAUUUAUUUUUCAAAUUCUUAUAUUAUAAUAUACCAUUUGUAGCUGAAAAUGGUGGGACGCGCAGAGGUCGAGGACGUACGCUACUUAGAGAGUUAUACGAGUUAGAUCCAGUCAAGCGUGUCAAAGUUGGACGAAACAGUUUUGGUCAGCCUGUUGGAUCAAAAGCUCGAAUUUUAGCAGGAUACAUGGGCAUUUUAGCACGAAAUGCGAAUAUGUUGCCUAUCAACUACGAGUCAUGGCAUCAAAUGCCCGAUAGCAACAAAAACCAAGCCCUCGAUAAUAUUAAGGUAACUUAAGGUUAAUGUCAUCUGUAAUGCUUGGGAAAUAGUAUUAACUUGUGUUUUUUGUAGGCGAGGUUUGCUUUGGAGGUCUCGGAUGCUUAUGUAAAGAAGGCAUUAGGAAAAAGAUGGAGAGACCAUAAAAGUACUUUAAAGAAAGAUUAUUAUAAUACAAAAACAACCCUCAAAGAGAAAUUGCAAAAUGUCCCGCCGGGUAUGCUGAGGUACCAAUAGGAAGAUGCGGUUAGAUUUUGGCAUUCGAAGAAAGGCGAGGUAUGAUGUAAUUCCAAACUAUUGUAAUUAUUUUGGUUUAUAGUAUUUACUAUUUAAGUACUAAAAAUUUCAUAACGUAGGAUCGUGAACGAGUUGGAAAAAGCAGCAGGCAGAAACAAAAAUUCACUCACACAGCCAGGUCGAGAAGUUUUGCAUGUGUAGCUGAGGCGAAGGUAUUUUUAAUUUUUUAAUAUUGUCAAAUAUGUAUAACUUUCCGUUAAAUAAUAUUUUUACUACUAUAUUGUAGGAACUAUCGUCCGGUCAAAAAGUUGGACGCCUUCAACUUUUUGAAAUUACACAUAGGAAGAAAGAUGGAUCUGCUAUGAAUCCUGAAGCUAGUGAAAUUAUGGUACGUUUACUUAAUACGAUUUGUCUUAGUUUAGUUAUUUAUAGUGUUUGUUUUCUAAUGGUUUAAUUCAUUGCUUGUAAUGCGACUAUUGUUAUGUUGCGUUUGUUUUUUUAAUAUAUAUUGCGUUCCUAACUAUGUGAUUUAUUUAUUAGGAAAAACUAAAGGAUAAAAAGACGGAGUACGAAGCGAUUGCUUCUAGUGAUAGUUCUGUUCAUCUUGAAGACAUUGAGAACCAGAUUAUUACUGAAGUUUUGGGUCCUGAAAGGUAUGGUCGGGUUCGAUUUCAAGGAUCUUUUGUUAGCCCAACCCAAUAUUUUGGAUCCAGCUCGCAGCAAUACAUGGCUUCGGGGAGUCAGGCUCAAGCUGAAGUUCAGAGGUUAAAAGACUAGAUGGCUCAGAUGCAAGCGACCACAGUUGAGGUUCAAAGGAAAUAUGAAGAACUCUAGCUACAACUCAGAGGCAGCAGCGAUGGAAGCAGCGGCUGCAGUAAGGGAAGCAGAGGCUGCAGCGAGAGAAGCAGAGCAGAGCAGAAAGUACGAUGAACUCCAGCAGCAGCUUCAGACUAUGAUGAAGAUGUUUCAGUCGCAACUUCCACCGUUAUAGCGUAUUGCAUAAAUAUUUUUAUCAUUUUAACUUUUUAACAUUUUUGCAAAAAUAAUAUGAAUUCACUUUUAUUUAUUGAUAUUAAUAUUAUUUUAUUCAUUUAAUUUGAAAUAUUAUAUAAAUUUAUUGCUUUUGGCUGGUUUAGAUCUAGUUGCUUUUGAGUUGUUACUACAGGAGGGCUGAAAAAAUAAAAAAUUUUAUAUAAAAAAAUAUUCCAAAAAUAGUGGCGUUUUUUAUAAAAGCGCCGCUAAAGAAACAUUUCUUUUAGCGGCAUUUGUGAAUAAAGCGCUGCUAAAGAACCUGAUCUUUAGUGUCAUUUUUUUGAAGCGCUGCUAAAGAACAUGACUUUUAGCGGCGUUUUUUUCCAAGCGCCGUUAAAGAACAUGAUCUUUAGCGGCGUUUAUUUUUGUAAACGCUGCAAACGUUAGCGACGUUUUCGUUAGCGGCCUUUAAGCGCCGCAAAGAUCUUUAGUGGCGUUAAAAAGCGCCGCUAAAGGCCUAAAAAAAUGCCGCUAAAAACUUGUUUUGGUGUAGUGCAUAAAUUCAACAGUUGGAUUAUUAAAAUAUUAAUCGUAUAGGGGGAUACAAAAGGAUGUAAAACAACUUUCAUUUUAUACCGGUGUAAGUGGAUUACUCCCCAUAUUUUUUUAUACACUUAUUUAUAUAUAUAUCGAAAUUUUACAUACUUUAUUAAAUAUGAUUUUGUAUCUUGAAUCUUCAACUAAUUAGUAUAUUUUAGCCAUGAUAUACCUCAACCAAUAAUAACUAAAUUAUGAUAUACUAACGAUGUGAGUGAAAAAAAAACUUAUGUAACAAUUUAUUUUAAAAAAUAAUGAUAUAUAUAAAAAAAGAGUUAUUGAAAUAGUAAAGUUAUGUAAUAGCUACUAAGGUGUUUUUCUUCAAAUUUUAUUAUACUCAUUUUUCUAGAUUUUACAUAAAAUAUAAACUGAUAAAAAUACUCUCAUAAUAAUAUUUGUUCUUUUAUAAAAGUAAUAGAUUUUCAUAAUUUUUCAACUGAGUUGAGACUGAGUUGAUGGGUGACACCAAUUCAAACAACCUUUUAAAAAAUAAUAUUAAUUUAAGGUACACCCAUAAUGGGAUUGGAAAAAAUUAUGUAAUAGACAUAUUUAUUAAAAGCUUAUAUAAGAAUUAAAUGAAUUACUUGUUGAAAUGAUAAAUCUUAAAUCUUAAAAUUUUUCGUUGAAGGUUCAAAUCUCACAAUCUUAAAUUUAUUAUCGAUUUUAUAUAAAAAUUUAAAAAGAUGUGAAUACCAUUAAAAUAAUGUAAUUUAAUUUGUUAAGUAAAAAAGAUAAUAUAGAUAUAAGAAAAAAACUUCCUUAAAAAAACAUUAAAUCAUACCUUCGCAUAACGUCGAGUAAAUGCGAGUAUCCCUAUCACACACACAUAGAUGAUUAGAGCUCAACCUCGACCAGCAAUAUUCACCAUCGGAUGUACAAGAAGUAUCCGAACUAUCAUUCAAAUAGCAUUCUCCAUAUAUUGGUGUGCCCCAAUGCAAUUGUGUUGGGACAUGCGUCCUACUACUUAUAUCAGAAUCUUCUAAAUCAUAGUCAUCAGAAAUCAAGGAAGCAAAUCCGCAUGAUUUUUUCUUCCUAUAAUCACUAGAAUCAACCCUAUUAGUCAUGUUUAUGUAGAAUGAACUGAGAUCCUGAGGGAAAAAAGCAAGACAACUAGCAACAUAAGAAGUCUUGUUAUUAAUCCUACAACUUGGUUGCAAACAUCCGCCCAAAAGUUUAUCUGUUUCAUUGCCAAAAAUAGUAACCAAAUUAUCGCAACCUGAAUAAUAAAAACUGUUGUCAGAAGUUGAGUAGGAAAAGCGGGUGCCAGUUAGGUUGAGACUCAUCCCAUUAUGAUGGUUCUUUCGAGUUUCGACAGUUGAAGUAAGUUAUUGGAUGGUUGACCUUGAUGGUGCCUUUCAAAAAAUCAAAGUUCAAUAUUUGUAGAUUCGUGUCAUUUAUGUUUAAGAAAGGAACUUCUCCCCCGUUGGCGGUUUUGUUGCAAAUUACUUCAAACCAAUCGUCAAUUUCAUAAUCUUGGUCCUUCAUUCUAAAGGGGUAGUGAAAAGUAACAUUUCCGCAGGGCCAUACCUUGUAGGUGUUGACGUUGAUAGGUCCUAGUCUUGGUCUUCCGCAUACUGCGGAUUUAGCAAAAAAGGAGUCAAUCGUAAAAUCUACUAAAUAUAUGUACAUCCAAUUAGGGGUGAGUAAAGCUCGAUUAGAUUUGAAAAUAUCAAAAAAAAUUCAAAUUUCGAGUUUAUCGAAUUGAGUUAUUCAAAUUAUUAGAGUCAACUCAAAUAAGUAAUUCGAGUUUCAAGUUCAAAUCGAGUUGAAUUUUACAAUUAGAAUAAUUUGAAUAACAGAUUGGUGUAUAUAUCCUUUACGUCACUGUUAAGUUUGAAAAUGAGCAAAUUGGUCUCUCUCAACAAAAAAUUAAAAAAAUUCAAAAUAAUUUUAUAAAAUUCAAAAUAAUUUUUAAAUUUCAAAAUAUUUAUAAAAAUUCCAAAAUUUAUAUUUUUUAAAAAAUUAUAAGAAAUUCUUAAAAUAUAUAAAGAAAGUUAAAAAAUUAAAAAUUUUCUAGAAUAAUAAUUUUGGGACCUAAAUUUGUUAAUUAAUGAUUCAAGUUUAUCAUACUAAAGUAUUUUUUAUUUUGCUUUGAAAAAGUUUUCAAAUAUAUAUGGUUUCAAAUUUAUAUGCUUUAAUAAAGAAUUAGUUAUACUGUAACAAUAUUUUAAUUUGACAUGUUUAAUUUUUUAAUUUAAAUCAAAAAAAUUUACUCUAUUCGACUAGACUCAAAUUUCAUUUCACUCGACUCAAUUUGAAAAAAUUUUGAAUUGAGUUAAGAUAAUAAAAUAGUACUUGCCAACUCGUUUAACUCGAAAUUUUAUAUAUAUAUAUAUAUAAAACCGAUAUGAAUCCAGCGGUGUCCUUGAUCUCCCUAAUUAAGUGAACAAAUUAGUAAACUACACCUUUCUGCCUCUUUCAAAAGAAUUAAUAAUUUAACAUAAACACUUUAACCCUUGAAUAAAUGUAAAAAUUACAUUUUUAACUCCUCUAAAAAAUAAUAAUUUAAUUUAAUUUAAUCUCAUUUAAGUAUUAAUUCAAGUUUUUGGAAUACAAAACUUUUAGGUAUAAAUUUUUUAAAGCCAAAAAUAUUAAUAUACAAAACGAAUGAUCCUAAAAACUUUUUUUAGAACUUAUAUGAUUCUAAAUACUGAUUUUAAACCAUUAGCAAAAUCUAUAUAUUAACUGAAUUAAAAGAAGAAGAAUAAAAGCCAAGCAAUUGAAGUGACAGCGCGACUGACCUCCGUCACCGCAAUAGGUGGAAUUCAAGUUGAGCACGGCGGGAACAUGCGUAGUUCCAUUAUUGAUGCCAGUGGGUAAUGGGUAAGCACUACCGAAAGAGUACUUGCUAAAGAUGAAAGCAGAUGCGCAUCUUUUGCUGUCAGGAUACAUGGCUGUCAUGUUGACAGUAUAGGAAGUGAAAUUUGCAGUAAUUAGAGUAACGCAGCCAGAUUCAGAAGCACCAUCGUCAGACCUUAGUUGAAUGCAGCCGCCAAGUGAAUCACCUUCGUUACUUAAAAUAGUAGCCAAAUUUCCAAAACCUACUGACCCGAAAUAAUUCAUGUCACUUGAGAAGAAAAAUGGAGUGCCUGAGAGAUCCACACUCACACUAGCCUUAUUACAGUUAAUAUAAGUAACUGGAUUAUUGAUGAGAAUGGCGUCUGAAUAUAUGGAAUCAAGUAUCUCCAGAUCGAUGCCAUUUACGUUUUUGAAUGGCUUUACCCCAUUGAGGGUUGGGUUGCAAGUCACUCUAAACCAAGGUUUAGUAUAGCAGGUGCUAUGGAUUCCAAAAGGGGAUGGAAUUGUAAUAUUUCCACAUGCUUCUUUACCACAGGCAGUUUCUUGAGAUUCUGAUGCUUGUAAUGUUGGGCACAACAGGAAGAGGAGUAGGAGGAUGAAGUAAAGCGGUAAGUGAAAACCCAUUUGCGUUGUUAUUUGGUUUGAGGGAAAUCAAUGAAGAUUUAAAGAAACAAAGGAUGUUUGAGUGAGAAGCAAAUGAAAAGUAUUUGGUCACACUUUCCUUGAAGUUCCAGUAUAAGUGCAUUUGAUUUGAGAAUAAUUCAUUAAUUUGCAAAGACUGUUGGAUACAAUUUUCCAGCUACACGUAAGAG